RNAcentral lists this signal recognition particle RNA (299 nucleotides) under Aotus nancymaae (Ma's night monkey). Its description in RNAcentral is "Metazoan signal recognition particle RNA (ENSANAG00000007828.1)". It matches the Rfam family "Metazoan signal recognition particle RNA". From Rfam's summary of the family: The signal recognition particle (SRP) is a universally conserved ribonucleoprotein. The record is from RNAcentral. Lineage: Eukaryota; Metazoa; Chordata; Mammalia; Primates; Aotidae.
GCUGGGCGCGAUGGUGCGUGCCUGUAGUCCCAGCUACUCGGGAGGCCGAGGUGGGAGGAUCGCUUGAGCCCAGGAGUUCUGGGCUGUAGUGUGCUAUGCUGAUGUGGUGUCUGCACUAAGUUCAGCAUCAAUAUGGUGACUUCCCAGGAGUGGGGGACCACCAGGUUGCCUAAGGAGGUGUGAACCGGCCCAGGUUGGAAACGGAGCAGGUCAAAACUCCCGUGGUGAUCAGUAGUGGGAUCGUGCCUGUGAAUAGCCACUGCACUCCAGCCUGGGCAACAUAGGGAGACACCGUCUCU